RNAcentral lists this long non-coding RNA (614 nucleotides) under Cicer arietinum (chickpea). Its description in RNAcentral is "long non-coding RNA (CARI_LNC001866)". Lineage: Eukaryota; Viridiplantae; Streptophyta; Magnoliopsida; Fabales; Fabaceae. The record is from RNAcentral.
UUUUUUACAGUGUAGAGGUUGUACUUUGUAGUUGAAUCAUCUCAACUCUUCUAAAGUGAGCACAAUCCAAGGAAAGUAAAUGCAUAUCAAACCACGAGUAUAAUAAAUCACGGGUAGAUGAAUUAAUAUGCACCUUGAUUGUGUACACUUUACUAGCUACUCAUUUUAGAAGUGCUCUAGGAACUCGAAAAGAAGGAUGUUUUGGUUUAUAAAAGAAGAAUUUAAUCACAUUUGUGGUCUUAUGUAGAGGUUGUACUUUGUAGUUGAAUCAUCUCAACUCUUCUAAAGUGAGCACAAUCCAAGGAAAGUAAAUGCAUAUCAAACCACGAGUAUAAUAAAUCACGGGUAGAUGAAUUAAUAUGCACCUUGAUUGUGUACACUUUACUAGCUACUCAUUUUAGAAGUGCUCUAGGAACUCGAAAAGAAGGAUGUUUUGGUUUAUAAAAGAAGAAUUUAAUCACAUUUGUGGUCUUUUUAGUUUAAAUCAUUUGUGAUGUUAGUUCUUCAACAAUUUUUCCGAUGGAUUUUAGUUUUAAAGUUGUGAUUGGUAUAACUAAUUGUGUUUAAAUUGUUUUAAAUGUUAUACUAAAAAUGUUUAAAUUUUGUGAUUAACA